Molecule: ribosomal RNA, 425 nt
Filed under: uncultured prokaryote
Description: bacterial SSU rRNA
Rfam family: Bacterial small subunit ribosomal RNA
Source: RNAcentral
UGGGGAAUCUUGCGCAAUGGGGGCAACCCUGACGCAGCGACGCCGCGUGCGGGAUGACGGCCCUAGGGUUGUAAACCGCUUUCAGCAGGGACGAAAUUGACGGUACCUGCAGAAGAAGGCCCGGCCAACUACGUGCCAGCAGCCGCGGUAAUACGUAGGGGCCAAGCGUUGUCCGGAAUCAUUGGGCGUAAAGAGCUCGUAGGCGGCUUGGUGAGUCGGAUGUGAAAUCUCCACGCUCAACGUGGAGCGGCCAUCCGAUACUGCCAUGGCUAGAGUCCGGUAGGGGAGCGUGGAAUUCCCAGUGUAGCGGUGAAAUGCGCAGAUAUUGGGAGGAACACCCGUAGCGAAGGCGGCGCUCUGGGCCGGAACUGACGCUGAGGAGCGAAAGCGUGGGUAGCAAACAGGAUUAGAUACCCCCGUAGUCC